RNAcentral lists this small RNA (1743 nucleotides) under Pongo abelii (Sumatran orangutan). Its description in RNAcentral is "processed transcript". Lineage: Eukaryota; Metazoa; Chordata; Mammalia; Primates; Hominidae. The record is from RNAcentral.
AAGUCUCCAGAGCAGACGCUGGUGAGGGAAGAGCCUCCCGUCUUCAGUCUACAGGAAGAUGCUGGCUUGGUUUGAGGGUCCCCGGAAGCAGAUCCCAAGACAAGGAUCCGCCAGAGCAGCCGCCCUACCCGCACCACCAGGGCGGCCCACCCCACUGCCCCCCCUGGAACAACAGCCACGAGGGCAUGUGGGGCGAGCAGCGCGGUGACCCCGGCUGGAACGGCCAGCGCGACGCGCCCUGGAACAACCAGCCCGAACCCGCCUGGAACAGCCAGUUCGAGGGCCCCUGGAACAGCCAGCACGAGCAGCCACCCUGGGGCGGGGGCCAGCGCGAGCCGCCGUUCCGCAUGCAGCGGCCCCCACACUUCCGGGGGCCCUUCCCGCCCCACCAGCAGCACCCGCAGUUCAAUCAGCCUCCGCACCCCCACAACUUCAACCGCUUCCCCCCCCGCUUCAUGCAGGACGACUUCCCGCCACGGCACCCUUUCGAGCGGCCGCCCUAUCCCCACCGCUUCGACUACCCCCAGGGGGACUUCCCUGCCGAAAUGGGGCCCCCUCACCACCACCCUGGCCACCGCAUGCCUCAUCCUGGCAUCAACGAGCACCCGCCCUGGGCUGGACCCCAGCACCCUGACUUCGGCCCUCCCCCCCACGGCUUCAACGGGCAGCCCCCACACAUGCGGCGACAGGGCCCGCCCCACAUCAACCACGAUGACCCCAGCCUGGUCCCCAACGUGCCCUACUUCGAUCUCCCUGCUGGGCUGAUGGCACCCCUCGUGAAGCUGGAAGAUCACGAGUACAAGCCUUUGGACCCUAAAGACAUACGUCUCCCGCCCCCCAUGCCGCCCAGCGAGAGGCUGCUGGCUGCAGUGGAGGCCUUCUACAGCCCCCCGUCCCACGACAGGCCCAGGAACAGUGAAGGCUGGGAGCAGAACGGCCUCUAUGAGUUCUUCCGAGCAAAAAUGCGGGCCCGGCGGAGGAAAGGCCAGGAGAAGAGGAACAGCGGACCCUCGAGGUCUCGGAGCAGAUCCAAGAGUCGAGGGCGUUCUUCCUCCCGCUCCAACUCAAGAUCCUCCAAGUCUUCAGGCUCGUACUCAAGGUCAAGGUCGCGCUCCUGCUCCCGUUCCUACUCCCGCUCCAGAUCUAGAAGUCGGAGCAGGUCACGCUCCUCCAGAAGCCGCUCCCGGUCCCAGUCGCGGUCCCGGUCCAAGUCGUACUCCCCAGGAAGAAGACGCCGGUCACGGUCCAGGAGCCCCACCCCGCCUUCCUCUGCUGGUCUGGGUUCUAAUUCGGCGCCUCCCAUCCCUGACUCAAGGCUCGGAGAAGAGAACAAAGGCCAUCAGAUGCUGGUGAAGAUGGGCUGGAGUGGCUCUGGCGGCCUCGGUGCGAAGGAGCAAGGGAUCCAGGACCCCAUCAAGGGCGGGGACGUCCGGGAUAAGUGGGACCAGUAUAAAGGCGUGGGCGUGGCUCUGGACGACCCCUAUGAGAACUACCGCAGGAACAAGAGCUACUCCUUCAUCGCCCGCAUGAAGGCCAGGGACGAGUGUAAGUAGGCGCCCAUGCCGGGAGCCACGCCGGUGGCCAGCGGUGCCGGCUGUGGGACCUUCCUGGCUGACUGGCAGUGGAAGAUCGCAGUGACCGCUCAGUUCUCACACCGUCUCCACUUGUGGAGAGAAGGAAGACCAGCGCAUGCCCAGUGGGAACACCGUGCUCCAUGGCGUGGAGGGCACGGGUGCCACCCAC